Molecule: ribosomal RNA, 392 nt
Filed under: uncultured bacterium
Lineage: Bacteria
Description: bacterial SSU rRNA
Rfam family: Bacterial small subunit ribosomal RNA
Source: RNAcentral
GAUGAACGCUAGCGGCAGGCUUAACACAUGCAAGUCGAGGGGCAGCAUGAACCGACCUUCGGGAAGGUUUGAUGGCGACCGGCGCAAGGGUGCGUAACGCGUGAGCAACUUGCCCGUUUCUGGGGAAUAACCGGUGGAAACGCCGACUAAUACCCCAUGGCAUUGAUUGGAGGCAUCUCCGAUCAAUUAAAGAAUUUCGGAAACGGAUAGGCUCGCGUGACAUUAGCUAGAUGGCGGGGUAACGGCCCACCAUGGCGACGAUGUCUAGGGGUUCUGAGAGGAAGGUCCCCCACACUGGAACUGAGACACGGUCCAGACUCCUACGGGAGGCAGCAGUGGGGGAAUAUUGGGCAAUGGGGGGAAACCCUGACCCCAGCAACGCCGCGUGAAGG